GACGAACGCUGGCGGCGUGCUUAACACAUGCAAGUCGAACGGAAAGGCCCUGCUUUUGUGGGGUGCUCGAGUGGCGAACGGGUGAGUAACACGUGAGUAACCUGCCCUUGACUUUGGGAUAACUUCAGGAAACUGGGGCUAAUACCGGAUAGGAGCUCCGGCUGCAUGGUGGGGGUUGGAAAGUUUCGGCGGUGGGGGAUGGACUCGCGGCUUAUCAGCUUGUUGGUGGGGUAGUGGCUUACCACGGCUUUGACGGGUAGCCGGCCUGGGAGGGUGACCGGCCACAUUGGGACUAGGAUACGGCCCAGACUCCUACGGGAGGCAGCAGUGGGGAAUAUUGCACAAUGGGCGGAAGCCUGAUGCAGCACCGCCGCGUGCGGGAUGACGGCCUUCGGGUUGUAAACCGCUUUCGCCUGUGACGAAGCGUGAGUGACGGUAAUGGGUAAAGAAGCACCGGCUAACUACGUG
RNAcentral lists this ribosomal RNA (468 nucleotides) under uncultured bacterium. Its description in RNAcentral is "partial 16S ribosomal RNA". It matches the Rfam family "Bacterial small subunit ribosomal RNA", at positions 28 to 507 of the family's 1533-position model. The record is from RNAcentral.